This 69-nucleotide transfer RNA is filed under the name uncultured Anaerobutyricum sp. It matches the Rfam family "tRNA". Rfam says of the family: Transfer RNA (tRNA) molecules are approximately 80 nucleotides in length. Their secondary structure includes four short double-helical elements and three loops (D, anti-codon, and T loops). Lineage: Bacteria; Bacillati; Bacillota; Clostridia; Lachnospirales; Lachnospiraceae. The record is from RNAcentral.
UCAUUAGUUUAGCGGUGAGAACGUCCGGCUCAUAACCGGGAAGUCGUAGGUUCGAGUCCUGCAUGAUCC